Molecule: transfer RNA, 107 nt
Filed under: Perkinsus chesapeaki
Lineage: Eukaryota; Perkinsozoa; Perkinsida; Perkinsidae
Description: tRNA-Leu
Rfam family: tRNA (bases 10-105)
About the family: Transfer RNA (tRNA) molecules are approximately 80 nucleotides in length. Their secondary structure includes four short double-helical elements and three loops (D, anti-codon, and T loops).
Source: RNAcentral
GCGGUGGUUGGUCCUGUAGCUCAGUGGUUAGAGCGAUGGGGCUGAGAAGGUGAAAUCGAAAUCCACUAGGCUCAGCCUGCGCAGGUUCGAUUCCUGCUGCCGUCGCU